Molecule: non-coding RNA, 73 nt
Organism: Cricetulus griseus (Chinese hamster)
Lineage: Eukaryota; Metazoa; Chordata; Mammalia; Rodentia; Cricetidae
Source: Rfam
GGAGAGAUGGCUCAGUGGUUAAGAGCACUGGCUUCUCUUUCAGAGAACCAGGGUUCAAUUCCCAGCAUCUACA